This 253-nucleotide ribosomal RNA is filed under the name uncultured bacterium. RNAcentral's name for it is "partial 16S ribosomal RNA". It matches the Rfam family "Bacterial small subunit ribosomal RNA", at positions 524 to 776 of the family's 1533-position model. The record is from RNAcentral.
UACGUAGGGGGCAAGCGUUGUCCGGAUUUAUUGGGCGUAAAGAGCGUGUAGGCGGCUUCACAGGUCCGCUGUGAAAACUCGAGGCUCAACCUCGAGAUGUCGGUGGAAACCGUGUGGCUAGAGUCCGGAAAAGGAGAGUGGAAUUCCCGGUGUAGCGGUGAAAUGCGCAGAUAUCGGGAAGAACACCCGUGGCGAAGGCGGCUCUCUGGGACGGUACUGACGCUGAGACGCGAAAGCGUGGGGAGCGAACAGG